Molecule: ribosomal RNA, 507 nt
Filed under: uncultured bacterium
Lineage: Bacteria
Description: bacterial SSU rRNA
Rfam family: Bacterial small subunit ribosomal RNA
Source: RNAcentral
GAUCAUGGCUCAGGAUGAACGCUAGCGUACAGGCCUAACACAUGCAAGUCAGGGGCAGCAGAUGAAGCUUGCUUUGAUGCUGGCGACCGGCGAAUGGGUGAGUCACGCGUGUCCAACCUGCCCUGUGCCCCGGGGAUAGCCCUUGGAAAUGAGGAUUAACACCCGAUACGUGGCGCUUCCGCAUGGCGGCGCCAUGAAACUGACACAGGAUGGGGACGCGUCGGAUUAGCUUGACGGCGGGGCGACGGCCCACCGUGGCGACGAUCCGCAGGGGUUCUGAGAGGAAGGUCCCCCACACUGGCACUGAGACACGGGCCAGACUCCUACGGGAGGCAGCAGUGAGGAAUAUUGGUCAAUGGCCGAGAGGCUGAACCAGCCAAGGUAAGCGUGCAGGACGACGGCCCUACGGGUUGUAAACUGCUUUUGCGGGAGGAUAAAGGACACUACGUGUAGUGUUUUGCAGGUAUCCCGUGAAUAAGGACCGGCUAAUUCCGUGCCAGCAGCCGC